This 73-nucleotide transfer RNA is filed under the name Chloroflexota bacterium. RNAcentral's name for it is "Chloroflexi bacterium (marine metagenome) tRNA-Glu". It matches the Rfam family "tRNA". From Rfam's summary of the family: Transfer RNA (tRNA) molecules are approximately 80 nucleotides in length. Their secondary structure includes four short double-helical elements and three loops (D, anti-codon, and T loops). Lineage: Bacteria; Bacillati; Chloroflexota. The record is from RNAcentral.
GGCGGCAUCGUCCAACGGCUCAGGAUGCCGGGCUUUCAACCCGGCGAUGGGAGUUCGAUCCUCCCUGCCGCCA